This 460-nucleotide ribosomal RNA is filed under the name uncultured bacterium. RNAcentral describes it as "partial 16S ribosomal RNA". It matches the Rfam family "Bacterial small subunit ribosomal RNA", at positions 338 to 795 of the family's 1533-position model. The record is from RNAcentral.
CCUACGGGAGGCAGCAGUGAGGAAUAUUGGUCAAUGGACGAGAGUCUGAACCAGCCAAGUAGCGUGAAGGAUGAAUGCCCUAUGGGUUGUAAACUUCUUUUAUAUGGGAAUAAAAUGUUCCACGUGUGGGAUUUUGCAUGUACUUUAUGAAUAAGGAUCGGCUAACUCCGGGCCAGCAGCCGCGGUAAUACGGAGGAUCCGAGCGUUAUCCGGAUUGAUUGGGGUGAAAUGGAGCGGAGAUGGGUUGUUAAGUCAGUUGUGAAAGUUUGCGGCUCAACCGUAAAAUUGCAAUUGAUACUGGCAGUCUUGAGUACAGUUGAGGUAGGCGGAAUUCGUGGUGUAGCGGUGAAAUGCUUAGAUAUCACGAAGAACCCCGAUUGCGAAGGCAGCUUACUAAACUGUGACUGACAUUGAUGCUCGAAAGUGUGGGUAUCAAACAGGAUUAGAUACCCCUGUAGUC